ACGUGCAGCUCUGUGUGUGUGUGCGUGCGUGCGUGUGUGCGUGCGUGUGCGUGUGUGUGUGUGUCUUUUAGCCUUUGAAAAAAGUAAAAGCCGCUCGACUCUGGUGUGUUUCUCGCUGAGCUCCCGUUUCCGAAGAUGAGACAGAACUAAGUCGCUCCUAUAAGUUGCUAAAGAGCUUUGGAGGUUUGAAAGGUGCCACGUGACAGGAAGAAGCCAAAGCCACCGUGGGCAGGUAAACGCUACCGCAGGGUAUUAGCUGUUACAUGGUGAGGGAAACAGCCUUCAACUGGGGUCUAUAGGAGAGGACGAAAUGGUCUUGCCACAGAUUUAAUCUCUCAGGUUUGAUUCUGUGAGAGAAACUUCACCAUAAGAUUCUAUUCUAUCCAGGUUCCUGUAUUCACCCAUCAUUGUGGUGACUUUCGCCCCUGAAGAUCUAGAAACAACAUAUUUAACCAUGAAGGCUCCAGAAAUCCUGCUUUGGACAGCAACAGCAUUUCUAUCUUUGAGCUCUGCGCUGGGAGACUCGGUCAAAUCUAACGAACCCGAAGUGUCUGGAUCAGUUGGAGGUUCUGUGACACUCAGCUGUUCUUACACCACCAGCGAUAACUCUGUCUCUCUCUAUUGGUACCGUCAGUAUCCGAACCAAGCACCGCAGUACAUUCUCUGGAGAGGAGCGAAAUCCUAUAGCGAGUUCAGUGAUACCGCAAAUUUCGCCCAGAAGAGGUUUUCUUCCCAGGCUACUGACAGCUCCACAGUUCUGAACAUCACAGCGCUGGAGCUGGCAGACACAGCAGUGUACCUCUGCGCCCUGCAGAGAGCACAGUGACAGAGCCUCAUAGCAGAACCGUACAAAAACCCUCCCUUCCCAGCUGCAGAUAAUGUUGUGCACAUUGAGGUUGGAAGCGGAACCCCUCGGGAGUUUUGCUGCACCAUUAAAAACACAUAUUCUGGCUCGGAUGUUGUGCUGUCAGAUGACUCCUUCCUAAUCUCUCCAAAUCAGUUGUAUUAAAAUAGUGGUUUCCAUAUGAGGAAAAAUGAAUAAGACUGCGACUUUUCAGCUGGGAAAAGA
Molecule: non-coding RNA, 1069 nt
Organism: Gopherus evgoodei (Goodes thornscrub tortoise)
Lineage: Eukaryota; Metazoa; Chordata; Testudines; Testudinidae
Source: the annotation of a RefSeq genome assembly